GCCGGGGUGGCGCAACGGCUGACGCGGAUGACUCAAAAUCAUCUGUCCUCACGGACAUGCGGGUUCGAAUCCCGUCCCCGGCACCA
Molecule: transfer RNA, 86 nt
Filed under: Pseudonocardia sp.
Lineage: Bacteria; Bacillati; Actinomycetota; Actinomycetes; Pseudonocardiales; Pseudonocardiaceae
Description: tRNA-Leu
Rfam family: tRNA
About the family: Transfer RNA (tRNA) molecules are approximately 80 nucleotides in length. Their secondary structure includes four short double-helical elements and three loops (D, anti-codon, and T loops). Further hydrogen bonds mediate the characteristic L-shaped molecular structure. tRNAs have two regions of fundamental functional importance: the anti-codon, which is responsible for specific mRNA codon recognition, and the 3' end, to which the tRNAs corresponding amino acid is attached (by aminoacyl-tRNA synthetases). tRNAs cope with the degeneracy of the genetic code in two manners: having more than one tRNA (with a specific anti-codon) for a particular amino acid; and 'wobble' base-pairing, i.e. permitting non-standard base-pairing at the 3rd anti-codon position.
Source: RNAcentral